Syngnathus acus (greater pipefish) is the source of this 79-nucleotide small nucleolar RNA. RefSeq annotates it as small nucleolar RNA snR60/Z15/Z230/Z193/J17. The transcript has a single exon. The record is from RefSeq and is a predicted model, not a curated record. NCBI's taxonomy places the organism in Eukaryota, Metazoa, Chordata, Actinopteri, Syngnathiformes, Syngnathidae.
CUGACUAAAGUGAUGAUUGCAUAGUUCAGCAGAUACACUGUGAAGAAAAAACCUUUCGCCCCUAUCUGAUGUUGGCUCA